UGCCACCUCGGCCACGGCGUGUGGCCCGC
Molecule: small RNA, 29 nt
Filed under: Bombyx mori (domestic silkworm)
Lineage: Eukaryota; Metazoa; Arthropoda; Insecta; Lepidoptera; Bombycidae
Description: ovarian small RNA-33663
Source: RNAcentral